RNAcentral lists this ribosomal RNA (497 nucleotides) under uncultured bacterium. RNAcentral describes it as "partial 16S ribosomal RNA". It matches the Rfam family "Bacterial small subunit ribosomal RNA", at positions 28 to 507 of the family's 1533-position model. The record is from RNAcentral.
GAUGAACGCUGGCGGCGUGCCUAAUACAUGCAAGUCGAGCGAACGGACGAGAAGCUUGCUUCUCUGAUGUUAGCGGCGGACGGGUGAGUAACACGUGGAUAACCUACCUAUAAGACUGGGAUAACUUCGGGAAACCGGAGCUAAUACCGGCUAAUAUUUUGAACCGCAUGGUUCAAAAGUGAAAGACGCUCUUGCUGUCACUUAUAGAUGGAUCCGCGCUGCAUUAGCUAGUUGGUAAGGUAACGGCUUACCAAGGCAACGAUGCAUAGCCGACCUGAGAGGGUGACCGGCCACACUGGAACUGAGACACGGUCCAGACUCCUACGGGAGGCAGCAGUAGGGAAUCUUCCGCAAUGGGCGAAAGCCUGACGGAGCAACGCCGCGUGAGUGAUGAAGGUCUUCGGAUCGUAAAACUCUGUUAUUAGGGAAGAACAUAUGUGUAAGUAACUGUGCACAUCUUGACGGUACCGAAUCAGAAAGCCACGGCUAACUACGUG